GACGAACGCUGGCGGCGUGCUUAACACAUGCAAGUCGAACGGAAAGGCCCUGCUUUUGUGGGUUGCUCGAGUGGCGAACGGGUGAGUAACACGUGAGUAACCUGCCCUUGACUUUGGGAUAACUUCAGGAAACUGGGGCUAAUACCGGAUAGGAGCUCCUGCUGCAUGGUGGGGGUUGGAAAGUUUCGGCGGUUGGGGAUGGACUCGCGGCUUAUCAGCUUGUUGGUGGGGUAGUGGCUUACCAAGGCUUUGACGGAUAGCCGGCCUGAGAGGGUGACCGGCCACAAUGGGACUGAGAUACGGCCCAGACUCCUACGGGAGGCAGCGGUGGGGAAUAUUGCAGAAUGGGCGGAAGCCUGAUGCAGAAACGCCGCGUGCGGGAUAACGGCCUUCGGGUUGUAAACCGCUUUCGCCUGUGACGAAGCGUGAGUGACGGUAAUGGGUAAAGAAGCACCGGCUAACUACGUG
Molecule: ribosomal RNA, 468 nt
Filed under: uncultured bacterium
Lineage: Bacteria
Description: partial 16S ribosomal RNA
Rfam family: Bacterial small subunit ribosomal RNA
Source: RNAcentral